AGCUGUGUUGUUAUCAGACGCAUGUGACACAGUACAAGUAGUGCAUGGACACCCAUUAUCCAUUGUUUCACUCCCACCGUCUGAUCCACUUUAUUCUCAUUUUUUGAUUGAAUCACAACCAUUGCACAAAAGCCCCAUCUGUGUGAUGUCCAUUGUUCAAUCAAGCGUUGACACGUGGCACUGCAAUACUCCAUNNNNNNNNCAAUGGGCCAAUUUAUGGGCCUUGAUGACAAUCUCUAUCUUGACCAUAAUCUCUAAUUUUAGAACCUUGAGGACAAGGUUCGAGUGAACCCGGCGGCAAUGAUAGAAGAUUAGUUAGCAAUGAUAGAAGAUUAGUUAGUAGUUAAUUAAUUAAUUAUUAGGUAGUAUUUAAUUAAGUAAUUUAGAUAGUAAUGAUAUAUAUUAUUUAUAUUAUUAGUUGGUCAUUUAUGUUAUUGGGUUGUUAAAUGGG
This 451-nucleotide long non-coding RNA is filed under the name Trifolium pratense (red clover). RNAcentral describes it as "long non-coding RNA (TPRA_LNC010456)". Lineage: Eukaryota; Viridiplantae; Streptophyta; Magnoliopsida; Fabales; Fabaceae. The record is from RNAcentral.